CAAGGACAGUAUCAUUCAAUAACCUCACUUACUCAACUUAUUUAAUUUUCCCAAAAACCUACUACAUGCCAAAUCUUUUCUUCACUCUUUCAACAAAGCAGCACCAUCCACGGCUUUUUGCAGUGUAGUAGCUAUCAACCUGAUAUUGGUUCAGAAAUCCUCUCCCCAACACUUUCCCUUUCAAAGCAAAACUUUAACAAGCAAAAUCAAUCAACUCUAUUUGUGAAGGUCAACAACUCAAAUUUGGUAUUCACUCUACCAACAAUUACCAAAUCCAUGUUUAUCUUCUUCCUUUAUGCAGAGAGAUGAAUUGACUCCACACAUUUGCAAGCUAGAAAACCUAAAUCUGAAUGGAAGAAGAGAAACAAACGGUAUCUAAGAAACGACCGUGAUUUCUUUGAUUAAUAAGGUGAAAUAGAUGGAUUGGUUUUCACCACGUCACAUACUUUUUCCAUCGAAAAAAUGCAGAUCAAGAAGUAUGCAUGAUUGCGUUGGGGUGCCUUACCAACAAGGUUAUACCGGAAGGAUACACUCUUGUUGCCAAGGUUUGUUAUUACAAUAUAUGGUUGUUAAUUAUCAAUUUCAAUUUAGUAGGAAACAGUGACUCGGAGAUUAUGCUGAUUCAGAUUAUUAAGAAAAACGUUGAAUUCUUUGAUUCAGCCAUACUUAUGACUUCUGAUCAUGUAAUUCUCUUGCUCGUAAAAGAUAUUGCACAAGCCCAUGGUCAUCUUCAGGCGUUGGAUGACAGAGACAAUAACAUACUGUUGAUGAUGUGGCUACUGAUAACUGUUUACAAGAGAAAUUAGGAUCGAACACUUAUUUUUGUAAAUAAUAAAGGGACGAAUUGGGGUGUGUCAAUUUAAGGGUACAAAAUGAAAUUGUUGAAAGGGUGUCGUGGAAAUGGGUCUUUUGUUUGAAUGAUUAGUGGAUAGGAUGAACAUGCUAUGAUUAUCUAAUGAGUAUGAAUGUGCAUGAAGAUAACCAUGAGUAUGAACAUCAGAAUAUACUGCUGAGUUUAGUCAAAAAAAAAAAAAAGAAUAUACUACUGUGUGUUUAUUUUUCUUGUAUCAAACAUGAAUAACAGAGAAGUGAAUGACCAAUUAAUACA
Molecule: long non-coding RNA, 1108 nt
Organism: Trifolium pratense (red clover)
Lineage: Eukaryota; Viridiplantae; Streptophyta; Magnoliopsida; Fabales; Fabaceae
Exons: 4
Source: RefSeq, a predicted model, not a curated record